CAAAUUAGAGCUUGUUAAAGUUUUUCAUUUACAUUGAAAAGAAAUUAUAAUUAAAAUAAUUAAUUUGA
Molecule: transfer RNA, 68 nt
Filed under: Anthocharis scolymus
Lineage: Eukaryota; Metazoa; Arthropoda; Insecta; Lepidoptera; Pieridae
Description: tRNA-Val
Source: RNAcentral